RNAcentral lists this ribosomal RNA (486 nucleotides) under uncultured bacterium. RNAcentral's name for it is "partial 16S ribosomal RNA". It matches the Rfam family "Bacterial small subunit ribosomal RNA", at positions 30 to 507 of the family's 1533-position model. The record is from RNAcentral.
AUUGAACGCUGGCGGCAUGCCUUACACAUGCAAGUCGAACGGCAGCACGGGUGCUUGCACCUGGUGGCGAGUGGCGAACGGGUGAGUAAUACAUCGGAACAUGUCCUGUAGUGGGGGAUAGCCCGGCGAAAGCCGGAUUAAUACCGCAUACGAUCUACGGAUGAAAGCGGGGGCCCUUCGGGCCUCGCGCUAUAGGGUUGGCCGAUGGCUGAUUAGCUCGUUGGUGGGGUAAAGGCCUACCAAGGCGACGAUCAGUAGCUGGUCUGAGAGGACGACCAGCCACACUGGGACUGAGACACGGCCCAGACUCCUACGGGAGGCAGCAGUGGGGAAUUUUGGACAAUGGGCGAAAGCCUGAUCCAGCAAUGCCGCGUGUGUGAAGAAGGCCUUCGGGUUGUAAAGCACUUUUGUCCGGAAAGAAAUCCUUGGCCCUAAUACGGUCGGGGGAUGACGGUACCGGAAGAAUAAGCACCGGCUAUCUACGUG